This 300-nucleotide ribosomal RNA is filed under the name Lactococcus cremoris. Its description in RNAcentral is "bacterial SSU rRNA". It matches the Rfam family "Bacterial small subunit ribosomal RNA", at positions 44 to 334 of the family's 1533-position model. The record is from RNAcentral. Lineage: Bacteria; Bacillati; Bacillota; Bacilli; Lactobacillales; Streptococcaceae.
GUGCCUAAUACAUGCAAGUUGAGCGAUGAAGAUUGGUGCUUGCACCAAUUUGAAGAGCAGCGAACGGGUGAGUAACGCGUGGGGAAUCUGCCUUUGAGCGGGGGACAACAUUUGGAAACGAAUGCUAAUACCGCAUAAUAACUUUAAACAUAAGUUUUAAGUUUGAAAGAUGCAAUUGCAUCACUCAAAGAUGAUCCCGCGUUGUAUUAGCUAGUUGGUGAGGUAAAGGCUCACCAAGGCGAUGAUACAUAGCCGACCUGAGAGGGUGAUCGGCCACAUUGGGACUGAGACACGGCCCAA